GGAGUAGUAGUUCGAGUAAUACCGCGAGGCUUCUUGGGUCAAACUGGCUAACGGAAAAGCGGUGAUUCUUCUGAAUUUGAUGGUUUAGCUUCUGAAUUUGAUGGCUUUGAAACCAAGGAUAAAAGCCCCAUUUUAAUAUGCAUUUCAGAGAGUUGUUCCCUCUUUGUAAAACAGGGAUAAUAUUCAUAGGAUUGUAUUUGGAUGGAAUGAGACAAAUUGUAUAGGAUAUAGGAAGCUUCAAUAAAUGUUUGAUUAUAACAGAAAUUGCUAGCUUUCCUUUUAGAACUUUUGAAAAAUGAGACACACACACAAUUUGAAAACAUGAGCAAUUUUGCAAAGGAAGUCAGGUCAGGGUUUUCAUGUUGAUUCUUUUGAAAGGUUGUGAAGGGUAUUACAACAAUUCUAUAAGAAAUGCUAUGCAUAGGCUCAUUAAGAUAUCUUAGA
Long non-coding RNA from Pipistrellus kuhlii (Kuhl's pipistrelle), 444 nucleotides. RefSeq lists it as uncharacterized. NCBI's taxonomy places the organism in Eukaryota, Metazoa, Chordata, Mammalia, Chiroptera, Vespertilionidae. The record is from RefSeq and is a predicted model, not a curated record. The transcript is spliced from 2 exons.